GCCAGGCAUGGUGGUGCAUGCCUGUAAUCCCAGCUACUCAGGAGGCUGAGGCAUGAGAACUGCUUGAGCCCAGGAGGUGGAGGUUGCAGUGAGCCGAGAUUGUGCCACUGCACUCCAGCCUGGGCGACAGAGCGAGACUCUGUCUCAA
RNAcentral lists this non-coding RNA (148 nucleotides) under Gorilla gorilla gorilla (western lowland gorilla). Lineage: Eukaryota; Metazoa; Chordata; Mammalia; Primates; Hominidae. The record is from Rfam by way of RNAcentral.